Molecule: transfer RNA, 93 nt
Filed under: Salmo salar (Atlantic salmon)
Lineage: Eukaryota; Metazoa; Chordata; Actinopteri; Salmoniformes; Salmonidae
Rfam family: tRNA
About the family: Transfer RNA (tRNA) molecules are approximately 80 nucleotides in length.
Source: Rfam by way of RNAcentral
AUCCCUGUGGCUCAGUUGGUAGAGCAUGGUGUUUGCAAUGCCAGCAUGGUGUGUGCAACACCAGGGUUGUGGGUUCGAUUCCCACGGGGGGCC